This 468-nucleotide ribosomal RNA is filed under the name uncultured bacterium. RNAcentral's name for it is "partial 16S ribosomal RNA". It matches the Rfam family "Bacterial small subunit ribosomal RNA", at positions 28 to 507 of the family's 1533-position model. The record is from RNAcentral.
GACGAACGCUGGCGGCGUGCUUAACACAUGCAAGUCGAACGGAAAGGCCCUGCUUUUGUGGGGUGCUCGAGUGGCGAACGGGUGAGUAACACGUGAGUAACCUGCCCUUGACUUUGGGAUAACUUCAGGAAACUGGGGCUAAUACCGGAUAGGAGCUCCUGCUGCAUGGUGGGGGUUGGAAAGUUUCGGCGGUUGGGGAUGGACUCGCGGCUUAUCAGCUUGUUGGUGGGGUAGUGGCUUACCAAGGCUUUGACGGGUAGCCGGCCUGAGAGGGUGACCGGCCACAUGGGGAAGGAGGUACGGCCAGGACGCCUACGGGAGGCAGCAGUGGGGAAUACGGCAUGAUGGGCGGAAGCCUGAGGCAGCAACUCCGCGGGCGGGAUGACGGCCUGCGGGUUGUAAACCGCUUUCGCCGGUGACGAAGCGUGAGUGACGGUAAUGGGUAAAGAAGCAAGGGCUAACGACGUG